AGAGUUUGAUCCUGGCUCAGGAUAAACGCUAGCGGCAGGCUUAACACAUGCAAGUCGAGCGGCAACGGUGUCAGCAAUGACAGCCGGCGAGCGGCGAAUGGGUGAGUAACGCGUAUGCAACCUACCUUUAUCACAGGGAUAGCCUUCCGAAAGGAGGAUUAAUACUUGAUAGUUUUUUUGUAAGGCAUCUUAUAAAAAAUAAAGAUUCAUUGGAUAAAGAUGGGCAUGCGUGGCAUUAGUUAGUUGGUGAGGUAACGGCUCACCAAGACGAUGAUGCCUAGGGGUUCUAAAAGGAAGGUCCCCCACAUCGGCACUGAGACACGGGCCGAACUCCUACGGGAGGCAGCAGUGAGGAAUAUUGGACAAUGGGCGAGAGCUUGAUCCAGCCAACCCGCGUGAAGGAAGAAGGUUUUAUGAAUCGUAAACUUCUUUUGAAAGGGACUAAAGUUAUCUACGCGUAGAUAUUUGAAUGUACCUUUCGAAUAAGCAUCGGCUAACUCCGUGCCAGCAGCCGCGGUAAUACGGAGGAUGCAGGCGUUAUCCGGAUUUAUUAGGUUUAAAGGGUGCGCAGGCGGAGUAUUAAGUCGGCGGUGAAAUUUCAUGGCUUAACCAUGGCAGUGCCGUCGAUACUGGUAAUCUUGAGAUUUUCUGAGGUAGGCGGAAUGAGGCGUGUAGCGGUGAAAUGCAUAGAUAUGCCUCAGAACACCGAUUGCGAAGGCAGCUUACCAAGAUUGAUCUGACGCUCAUGCACGAAAGCGUGGGUAUCGAACAGGAUUAGAUACCCUGGUAGUCCACGCGGUAAACGAUGAUCACUCGCUGUUUGGGUAAAAACUCAAGUGGCCAAGCGAAAGCGAUAAGUGAUCCACCUGGGGAGUACGGCGGCAACGCUGAAACUCAAAGGAAUUGACGGGGGCCCGCACAAGCGGAGGAACAUGUGGUUUAAUUCGAUGAUACGCGAGGAACCUUACCCGGGCUCAAACGCACAUUGAAGUUUUAGAAAUAAGAUAGCCCAGCAAUGGGAGAUGUGCGAGGUGCUGCAUGGUUGUCGUCAGCUCGUGCCGUGAGGUGUCGGGUCAAGUCCCAUAACGAGCGCAACCCCUGUUCAUAGUUGCCAACGGGUCAAGCCGGGGACUCUAUGGAGACUGCCGCCGUAAGGUGAGAGGAAGGUGGGGAUGACGUCAAAUCAGCACGGCCCUUACGUCCGGGGCGACACACGUGUUAC
Molecule: ribosomal RNA, 1222 nt
Filed under: bioreactor metagenome
Description: bacterial SSU rRNA
Rfam family: Bacterial small subunit ribosomal RNA
Source: RNAcentral